GUAGGAGACCCUGGCCCGGGCAUGGGCGGAAUUGGCGUAGUAAGGGUUGCCCUGGGAGUCCAGGUGGUUGAAGAAGACGUCGACUUCAUCCGGAGGUUAUUUCGGAAGGAGCUGUUGCAGGAGGGAGGAACGAGGCCGACCCCGCAGCCUGAGCACCCCAAAGCAAAAGGAGGAUAAAGAGGGGAACUUUGCACAUACAAAAACAGAAGAAAAAAAAAAGGCGAUGGGGUGAAAGAGUCGGCGGAGAGGAGCGGCCGUGGCCCGAUGUGCCUGGGAAGAGGGAGCCGCUGUCGGCAGCCGCGUCCUGGGAUCGCCCGGCACGGAACGACUCCAAAACGAGGAACUGUCGCUCAGGCGGAAAAACUACGGGAAAAGUGGGGUUUGAAGGCUGCAGAUUUUUCCCCAAGCGGGGUCAGGCGGGGGUGUGCGAGCCGGGGGCUCAGGGGGCCGAGAGCGGAGCAGCGCCCACCCGAGCCGUCCCGGGACAGCCGGGGUCACCCCCCACGUGCCACCAGAGACACGGGGGGUCCGUCGGGCAGGGAGUCACGAUUUUCUCCUCAUGCCCGCUGGAAGAGAAGGAUGUUUUUCUUUCCCGUUAAGCUUUCGUACUAAAGAUGUCAUCUGAAAGUCUGAGAGGAAGGGGGGACCGUGCUCUGCUCUUUUUCACGGUAACAACCAUAUCAUAUUGAAAAAUAUGAUGGACAGUGGGGAAAGAUUUCCUCCCCCAUUAAAAAAAAAAAAAGAAAAAGAAAAAAAAGAAAAUAACCCCAACCUUUUCAAUAUUGAUUCAAAAAAAAAAAAAAAAGGAGAAAAUUUUAAAAGAGAAGAAGCAGCACCAGCAGCAAGGAGAAUAUAGGCUCAGCAGCUCUCCAGGUUAGCUUCCUUAUUAUUACUAUCCAGGGGUAAUUUUUCAUCUCUGCUAGCUAAUCUUUGUUCCUUGUGAAGAUAAUGAAUAGCCCAAUCCUUAUCUCCUGGGCUCCUGGAGGCUGCUGUAGAAUGGGGUUGAACAGGGUUGAAAAUUGGUUCCAAAGUGCUGCUGAAUAAAUGGUGUUCCUUAUCUCUCGCUUCCAGAUUAUCGGAACCCUUUCAAAACUCACACAACAAAUACAGCCACCGCAUCUAAUGCAUCAUUUACCAGAGCAGAUCUCCGCGUUUGAUCGGCAGAUAGGCAAAAUCUAUGUAUUCCUUGCUUUACUUAGUAUGCAUGGAUGCGGGGCUGCUGUGCACCGGGGCUGCCCCCAGCCGGGCCCGGGACACCCCCGAGGCUCUUGGCACACGCGGGUCUUCCCUGCGGAUUCCGUGCGGUGACAAAGUGUCCCCUGGCCAUCCCCGACCCAGGGCAGCAGGGUGGGACAGCAGCUCACUGCGCAGGGUGCUGCCACACAGCCUGCUUGGAAAUUUGGGUUUGCUCUGCUGAGGCACCGGUGGAUUUGCAGGGAUGGGAGAAGAGUUGUGAACAUCAACCCGGGCACCUCAGGCACCUGCUGGAACUCACUGCUGCACCCAGAGCCUCCUUCUCCUGCAUCCCGGGGCAGGCAGUGCCUCAGGAGUGAUGAAGAGUGUGGCAGCACCUCUGUCCCCAUGCAGAAAGCCACGUCCAGGCUCAGCUGUGUCCCAGUCCUGCCCUCAGCUGGGUCAGUCUAGUGAAAACUCCCAGGGCUCCCCCAGCUUGUUACCCCCAAACCCUGCCCAGGGAGCCCUGGCAGUCCUUAGGUCCUCCACGGGCUGGGCUGGGCGAUCCCUCCAGCUCCCAGCCACAGGCACAACAGGGCACCUGAGACAGCCCAAAUUUGGGAAGAAAUUGGUGAUUCUGAGGGACAAAAAUAAACCUCACAGAAAGGGAGUUAUUUGCUCCUAGAGUUAGUGUGAAGUCUGUCCCUUCCAGCUCAGGACAGUAUCAGAUUUUUCUUCCUUUCUUUCUCCCUUCCUCUGUUUUUCAAUUUCUCUCUUUAUUUCUUGUUUCUUAGUCUGUCUUUUUUUUUUUUUUUUUUUUC
Molecule: long non-coding RNA, 1994 nt
Organism: Passer domesticus (house sparrow)
Lineage: Eukaryota; Metazoa; Chordata; Aves; Passeriformes; Passeridae
Exons: 4
Source: RefSeq, a predicted model, not a curated record